Molecule: ribosomal RNA, 253 nt
Filed under: uncultured bacterium
Lineage: Bacteria
Description: partial 16S ribosomal RNA
Rfam family: Bacterial small subunit ribosomal RNA
Source: RNAcentral
UACAGAGGGUGCGAGCGUUGUCCGGAAUCACUGGGCGUAAAGGGCGCGUAGGCGGUCUGCUAAGCGUGCGGUGAAAGCUCGGGGCUCAACCCCGCGUCGGCCGUGCGAACUGUUUUGCUUGAGCACUGUAGAGGCAGGCGGAAUUCCGGGUGUAGCGGUGGAAUGCGUAGAGAUCCGGAAGAACACCGGUGGCGAAGGCGGCCUGCUGGGCAGUAGCUGACACUGAGGCGCGACAGCGUGGGGAGCAAACAGG